GAUGAACGCUGGCGGCGUGCCUAAUACAUGCAAGUCGAGCGAACGGACGAGAAGCUUGCUUCUCUGAUGUUAGCGGCGGACGGGUGAGUAACACGUGGAUAACCUACCUAUAAGACUGGGAUACUUCGGGAAACCGGAGCUAAUACCGGAUGAUAUUUUGAACCGCAUGGUUCAAAAGUGAAAGACGGUCUUGCUGUCACUUAUAGAUGGAUCCGCGCUGCAUUAGCUAGUUGGUAAGGUAACGGCUUACCAAGGCAACGAUGCAUAGCCGACCUGAGAGGGUGAUCGGCCACACUGGAACUGAGACACGGUCCAGACUCCUACGGGAGGCAGCAGUAGGGAAUCUUCCGCAAUGGGCGAAAGCCUGACGGAGCAACGCCGCGUGAGUGAUGAAGGUCUUCGGAUCGUAAAACUCUGUUAUUAGGGAAGAACAUAUUUGUAAGUAACUGUGCACAUCUUGACGGUACCUAAUCAGAAAGCCACGGCUAACUACGUG
This 496-nucleotide ribosomal RNA is filed under the name uncultured bacterium. RNAcentral's name for it is "partial 16S ribosomal RNA". It matches the Rfam family "Bacterial small subunit ribosomal RNA", at positions 28 to 507 of the family's 1533-position model. The record is from RNAcentral.